This is a long non-coding RNA of Anguilla rostrata (American eel), 213 nucleotides long. RefSeq lists it as uncharacterized. The transcript is spliced from 2 exons. NCBI's taxonomy places the organism in Eukaryota, Metazoa, Chordata, Actinopteri, Anguilliformes, Anguillidae. The record is from RefSeq and is a predicted model, not a curated record.
CGUCUGAAAUAGCCAAUUUUGCAAUAAAAUUGCGCAGAAUCGUGACAUUCGGAUUACGUCAUUCCAGUUUGAACAUGGAACAAACGGAAUAAACAAUGAGGCUGCUUUCCUAAAUGUCCUGACUGUUUCUGGGCACUACCUGGUUUCCUCUUGCGGAAGAGUACAUGGGAAUGUGCCGGAACAACGGCAAAUCUCCACCGAAAAAAAAGAAAA